UGGGGAAUUUUGGACAAUGGGCGAAAGCCUGAUCCAGCCAUGCCGCGUGAGUGAAGAAGGCCUUCGGGUUGUAAAGCUCUUUUAGUCGGAAAGAAAGGAUUGCAACGAAUAAUUGUGAUUUAUGACGGUACCGACAGAAAAAGCACCG
Molecule: ribosomal RNA, 148 nt
Filed under: uncultured bacterium
Lineage: Bacteria
Description: partial 16S ribosomal RNA
Rfam family: Bacterial small subunit ribosomal RNA
Source: RNAcentral